GAUGAAGAACGCAGUGAAAUGCGAUAAGUAAUGUGAAUUGCAGAAUUCAGUGAAUCAUCGAAUCUUUGAACGCACAUUGCGCCCAUUAGUAUUCUAGUGGGCAUGCCUGUUCGAGCGUCAUUUCAACCCUUAAGCCCCCGUUGCUUAGCGUUGGGAACCUACAGCGAUGUAGUUCCUUAAAGUUAGUGGCGGAGUCGGUUCACACUCUAGGCGUAGUAAAUUUUAUCUCGCCUCUGUAGUUGGACCGUCCCCCGCCGUAAAACACCCCAAUUUCUAAAGGUUGACCUCGGAUCAGGUAGGAAUACCCGCUGAACUUAAGCAUAUCAAUAAGCGGAGGA
Molecule: unclassified non-coding RNA, 338 nt
Filed under: soil metagenome
Description: partial contains 5.8S ribosomal RNA, internal transcribed spacer 2, and large subunit ribosomal RNA
Rfam family: 5.8S ribosomal RNA (bases 1-120)
Source: RNAcentral